UUUUUUAAUUGAAAGCUGGUAUGAAUGGUUGAAUGAAAUAUUAACUGUCUCAAAAAAAAAUUAAUAUUAAAAUUUUAUUUUUUAGUUAAAAAGCUAAAAUAAUUUUAAAGGACGAGAAGACCCUAUAGAGUUUUAUAAAAUUAUUAUCAAUUAAUUAUAAUUAAUAAUAUAUUUAUUAAAUUGUUAAUAAUUUAUUUUAUUGGGGAGAUAAUAAAAUUUAAAAAACUUUUAUAAAAAUUUAACAAUAAUAAUUGAUUAAUUGAUCCUAUUUAUAGAUUAAAAAUUUAAAUUACCUUAGGGAUAACAGCGUAAUUUUUUUUUAAAGUUCAUAUUUAUAAAAAAGAUUGC
Molecule: ribosomal RNA, 348 nt
Filed under: Macrocera centralis
Lineage: Eukaryota; Metazoa; Arthropoda; Insecta; Diptera; Keroplatidae
Description: partial 16S ribosomal RNA
Source: RNAcentral